This 238-nucleotide unclassified non-coding RNA is filed under the name Glomeraceae sp. RNAcentral's name for it is "partial contains 5.8S ribosomal RNA and internal transcribed spacer 2". The stretch from base 1 to 71 matches the Rfam family "5.8S ribosomal RNA", at positions 84 to 154 of the family's 154-position model. Lineage: Eukaryota; Fungi; Glomeromycota; Glomeromycetes; Glomerales; Glomeraceae. The record is from RNAcentral.
GUGAAUCAUCAAAUUUUUGAACGCAAAUUGCACUCCCUGGUAUUCCGGAGAGUAUGCCUGUCUGAGGGUCAGUUUAAAUAAAAAUUGGUGUGGUUGCUGAAUUUCGUGGUGACGGACCGGAUUUGGGUCGUCUUGCUUUCGGUUAAGUGACUUAAAAUUUUGCUUGUUUUUGUUCGAACAUAUUUAAAUGAUUUUUUGUAUGUUUGUGAUGUAGAAUACUAGGUGUGGUAAUACUCGU